This 180-nucleotide non-coding RNA is filed under the name Buttiauxella agrestis. RNAcentral also lists the same sequence under 1 other name. Lineage: Bacteria; Pseudomonadati; Pseudomonadota; Gammaproteobacteria; Enterobacterales; Enterobacteriaceae. The record is from RNAcentral.
UUAUGCCAUGUCUUUACCCGUUCUUAUUUGGGGUGAAUAUGGCUGGGAAGGAGGUGUAAUUCCUCCGCAGCCCCCGCUGCUGUGAUGCCGACGAACCCGCGAAACCACUGAUCUCACGAUUGGGAAGGGCGGGCGAGAAUGAAGCUAAGCCAGAAGACCGACGAAUCAUUUAAUUUAAAC